UUUUGAAGUCAUGCCCACGAUUACAGCUUUGUCAAUUAUUCUCAUUUAUUUCUAUUUGUUUUGCUCUAUGUAGUUCCCAGUUAUGUUUUUAGGGGUAAUAAAGUUCAUGGCUGUUGGAUCAUCUUGGAGAAUUCUCCCUUUUUAUGAGAUAUUCUUUAAAAUUAGUUUUGUCUUUAUUUCAGUUUUGUUAAAUAUACAGUUAUUCCUAUUUUUGUUUUUAUAGCAUUUGCAGUCUUUUCCCAUAACUCCAACUUUCUUGCUUUAAAUAUUUUCAACUUCAUGUAGCUAGGAUUUAAACUUUCCUUUUACCUCAUCCUUAGUCAUCAGGACAGAAGGAAAGAAACUUCCCCCAAGUCUCUAGACCAAGAACGAGGUGCCUGCUUUAAAUUGAGUGAGUGAGCUAUGACUUGGGCCAAAUCCAGUGUACCUUCUAUCCACACUGCCUAUUUUUGUCACAGCCUAUAACAGGUUUCUGUGCUAUAAAUGGGUAGUAAAAUGCAUGACAUAGCUUCAAAUAAGAACAGGUUUCUGUUUAAGCAGUAUGUAAAUAACACAAUGUCUUUGACGUUGACUUUUGCUACAAAGCCUAAAAUAUUUACCUUUUGGCCCUUUAAGGAAAAGGUGUCCAUUCAAUGACUACCUCUGUGUCAGAUUUCUCUUAAGGGGUUAAUCUGUCAAACCAUCAGGGCAGAAUACCAAAAUACAAAUUGACAAUGAGCUAUACUCACUCUUGAUUUUAUUUGUAAUUCUACUCGCUCCCUCCCUCCCUCUACAAACACAUUCUUAUCCUCAUCCUGAAAAACUGAAUUUCCUGCUGGGUGGUGGUGGCUCACACCUUUAAUCCCAUUACUUGGGAGACAGAGGAAGGCAGAUCUCUGUGAGUUCAAGGCCAACCUGGUCUACAGAAUGAGUUCUCUGACAGCUAAGGCUACUCAGAGAAAUCUAUUGUCUCAAGAUAAGAAAACAAACAAACAAAAAACUGAAAUUUCCCAGCUUGUUGUGGUGGCACAGGGUCGUAAUCUUAGCAGUCAGGAGACUAAGACAGGAAUAUUAUAAAUUUGAAUCCAACUGACCUCAACCCCAUUUCACAAAACUUUCUAAAUUCCUGUGAGCCACUGCUGUGCAGGUCUGGAAAUGGACUGUGGCUGCCUUAUCUCCAGUAGCCCCUCAUCCAUCCUUAUAUCCUCUCUCUCAAUCCCUGUUUGUCGGCUUUCACUUUUGUGGCUGAGUUUCAAUGCCUAAGUCCUCCUUGUUACCCUGAAUUGGUACUCUGCUCUAUCUAUCCCAACUGUGAUUUCAGAUGGCCUUCCUGGAAGCCUUGCUCUGCCGGAGGCCUCUUCUCCUUGACUGGCUUCUUCUCCCUUCAGUGACCACUUCCAUCCUGAUGCUGCCCAUGUAUCCCACUUUUCUUUCCAACUGGCUGCACUAUCCUCUAGAGCAGUGAGGAUAUCCCUUCCCCCUUCUCCCUGCUCACCAGCCCACCCACUCCUGCUUCCUGGCCCUGGAAUCCCACCAGCAGUAGAGGGGUGUUUCUCUUCCACCUCCUUGCCAACAUCUGCUGUCACCUGAGUUUUUGAUCUUAGCCAUUCUGACUGGUGUGAGGUGGAAUCUCAGAGUUGUUUUGAUUCGCAUUUCCCUGAUAACUAAGGAUGUUAAACAUUAUUUUAGGUUCUUCUCAGCCAUUUGGUAUUCCUCAGUUGAGAAUUCUUUGUUUAGCUCUGUACCCCAUUUUUUAAUAGGGUUAUUUGGUUUUCUGGAGUCCAACUUCUUGAGCUCUUUGUAUAUAUUGGAUAUUAGCCCUCUAUCAGAUUUAGAUCUUUGGAAAAGAUCUUUCCCCAGUCUGUUGGUUGCCGUUUUGUCUUGACAGUGCCCUUUGCCUUACAGAAGCUUAGUCAUUCUGCAGAGAGCCCAGCAGGCUUUGGAAAUUUGAGUUGAAGUGCCAGAGAAUUGAGGCAGAAAACCUCACAUGAAGCCUUUAGUAAGGGUGGGAUGAUCUAGAAUGCUUUUCAAAAGGCUCAUUUCUAGAGCCAAGAGUCCUCUGGUUGGGCCUCAGGCCUGGCAAUCUGUCUCUUUAGAAGCCUCCCUAAGAACUUCAUCAAACUAGGGCUGGAAAAGGGUUCUCAAAACAACUCUUAUCCCAAAGACCCCUUUUUCUGUUUCUAUCCCAGUGUCACCCACGAAAACUUGCUCAGUAAAGCCUAGGGCUCCCUGCCAUCCUGCCUGCCUGAGGAAGAGAAAGGGAACUUUCUCUACAUGUUCUCAGAGUUCAUCACUGAUGCCCAUUUCCAUCCCAAAGACCUUCUGGGAAGACAUAUACCUACUGCUUUCCUAGGUCCGUGCAACCAACGCUGUCAGGGGCCAUCUACUCACCUUACUUCCACCCCCAUAAGUGAGGCUCCAUGGCGCUUCCUUUGCCUUCUUACCAAGAGAGCCUGUGAGGAGGAGGAUGCUAGGAUGUGACAUCAGACAGAAUAGUGUUGUACCCGUGGAGGACUAGGAGUCAGAGGGCUCAUCCAGCCUAGUGGUCAGCCCCAGUACAAUAGUUGUACAGUUCCUUUAAUAUGCCAUCUUUCCCAGACACAGGCUUAAAUACACUUAUUGAUGAGUGCUGUGCUCAUUUUCAAAUGUGUUUAAUAAUGCCCUCACUUGCCCAGUGGGCAUGAAAUCCUGGGAAUUAUUCAGGUUGAAAUGUAUUAACAUGAAAGGUUGCUAGAUAUAGAAAAGUGUAUGCUUGAAGUCCUGCUGGAAAAGCAGAGGUGGGGAGAUUAUAGGUUUUGAGCCAUCCUGGACUAAAAGCAAGUUCCAAGGCAGUCUGAGUUCAUAGACCCUGCAGAAAAAGAAGAAAGGAAGGAUGGUGGGAA
This 2861-nucleotide long non-coding RNA is filed under the name Mus musculus (house mouse). Its description in RNAcentral is "long non-coding RNA chr7:131446083-131448944". The record is from RNAcentral. Lineage: Eukaryota; Metazoa; Chordata; Mammalia; Rodentia; Muridae.